RNAcentral lists this unclassified non-coding RNA (181 nucleotides) under uncultured bacterium. RNAcentral's name for it is "partial 16S-23S ribosomal RNA intergenic spacer". The record is from RNAcentral.
UCCAAACAAUCGUCGAAAGCUCAGAAAUGAAUGUUCGCGAAUGAACAUUGAUUUCUGGUCUUUGCACCAGAACUGUUCUUUAAAAAUUCGGGUAUGUGAUAGAAGUAAGACUGAAUGAUCUCUUUCACUGGUGAUCAUUCAAGUCAAGGUAAGAUUUGCGAGUUCAAGCGCGAAUUUUCGG